GAUGAACGCUGGCGGCGUGCUUAACACAUGCAAGUCGAACGGAAAGGCUCCUGCUUGCAGGGGUACUCGAGUGGCGAACGGGUGAGUAACACGUGGGUGAUCUGCCCUUCACUUCGGGAUAAGCCUGGGAAACUGGGUCUAAUACCGGAUAGGACGAUGGUUUGGAUGCCAUUGUGGAAAGUUUUUUCGGUGUGGGGUGAGCUCGCGGCCUAUCAGCUUGUUGGUGGGGUAAUGGCCUACCAAGGCGUCGACGGGUCGCCGGCCUGAGAGGGUGUACGGCCACAUUGGGACUGAGAUACGGCCCAGACUCCUACGGGAGGCAGCAGUGGGGAAUAUUGCACAAUGGGCGCAAGCCUGAUGCAGCGACGCCGCGUGGGGGAUGACGUCCUUCGGGUUGUAAACUCCUUUCGCUAGGGACGAAGCGCAAGUGACGGUACCUGGAGAAGAAGCACCGGCUAACUACGUG
RNAcentral lists this ribosomal RNA (466 nucleotides) under uncultured bacterium. Its description in RNAcentral is "partial 16S ribosomal RNA". It matches the Rfam family "Bacterial small subunit ribosomal RNA", at positions 28 to 507 of the family's 1533-position model. The record is from RNAcentral.